GCCCUCAUGGCUCAAUGGCAGAGUCCCUGUCUCGUAAUCAGGGGAUUCCGGUUCGAUUCCGGAUGAGGGCU
Minicystis rosea is the source of this 71-nucleotide non-coding RNA. The record is from Rfam. Lineage: Bacteria; Pseudomonadati; Myxococcota; Polyangiales; Polyangiaceae.